AUUGAACGCUGGCGGCAGGCCUAACACAUGCAAGUCGAGCGGAUGAAGGGAGCUUGCUCCUGGAUUCAGCGGCGGACGGGUGAGUAAUGCCUAGGAAUCUGCCUGGUAGUGGGGGAUAACGUCCGGAAACGGGCGCUAAUACCGCAUACGUCCUGAGGGAGAAAGUGGGGGAUUUUGGAACCCCACGCUAUCAGAUGAGCCUAGGUCGGAUUACCUAUUUGGUGGGGUAAAGGCCUACCAAGGCGACGAUCCGUAACUGGUCUGAGAGGAUGAUCAGUCACACUGGAACUGAGACACGGUCCAGACUCCUACGGGAGGCAGCAGUGGGGAAUAUUGGACAAUGGGCGAAAGCCUGAUCCAGCCAUGCCGCGUGUGUGAAGAAGGUCUUCGGAUUGUAAAGCACUUUAAGUUGGGAGGAAGGGCAGUAAGUUAAUACCUUGCUGUUUUGACGUUACCAACAGAAUAAGCACCGGCUAACUUCGUG
Molecule: ribosomal RNA, 484 nt
Filed under: uncultured bacterium
Lineage: Bacteria
Description: partial 16S ribosomal RNA
Rfam family: Bacterial small subunit ribosomal RNA
Source: RNAcentral